CGCCCUGUAGUCUAAUGGUACGAUGUCGCCAGUCCACAUUUCGUUAGGAGUUUGGGGAGGUGGAGAUUGCAAGUUCGAUUCUUGUCGGGGCUU
Roridomyces roridus is the source of this 93-nucleotide non-coding RNA. NCBI's taxonomy places the organism in Eukaryota, Fungi, Basidiomycota, Agaricomycetes, Agaricales, Mycenaceae. The record is from the annotation of a GenBank genome assembly.